RNAcentral lists this long non-coding RNA (434 nucleotides) under Prunus dulcis (almond). RNAcentral describes it as "sRNA ncRNA". Lineage: Eukaryota; Viridiplantae; Streptophyta; Magnoliopsida; Rosales; Rosaceae. The record is from RNAcentral.
CCCCCUCCCCGUUUUGAUUUUUCGCCAGAUUUCAGACGGCGAGAACUCCGCCGUCCGACCUCCGUUUGAGGCGCCGUUUCUUGCAAAAGCUUCAUCUCUUCCUCCUCUACCCAGCCCACCCCUUUUCUCCGAUCGAAAACCCAGCAAACGGCGGUGGCGACGACGUGAAACCCAGCUGAAACUGCCGACGUCGCCGGCGACGUUUCCGGCCAUCUCGAGCUGCGCCGUCACUUGGAACAGGUAGCUCUCCUUCCCUUCUAGCUAUUUCCUGGGUUGCGCGACGACCAUGGUGACGGUGGUCGUCGGAUCGAGGCCGUGAAGUUCCGGGUUAAACCGCGAACUUCCGACGCCGAUUCCGGCCACUUGCCAUCCGAAUUGGACUUGGGUGUAGUUGAAUAAAGUGUUCCACUUGUCGAGUAGAAUCUGUAGCCGGA